RNAcentral lists this ribosomal RNA (476 nucleotides) under uncultured bacterium. RNAcentral's name for it is "bacterial SSU rRNA". It matches the Rfam family "Bacterial small subunit ribosomal RNA", at positions 328 to 793 of the family's 1533-position model. The record is from RNAcentral.
UCAGUCGACUCCUACGGGGAGGCAGCAGUGGGGAAUAUUGCACAAUGGGGGAAACCCUGAUGCAGCCAUGCCGCGUGUGUGAAGAAGGCCUUCGGGUUGUAAAGCACUUUCAGUAGGGAGGAAGGUAGUGUAGUUAACACCUGCAUUAUUUGACGUUACCUACAGAAGAAGCACCGGCUAACUCCGUGCCAGCAGCCGCGGUAAUACGGAGGGUGCGAGCGUUAAUCGGAAUUACUGGGCGUAAAGCGCAUGCAGGCGGCCUGUUAAGUCAGAUGUGAAAGCCCGGGGCUUAACCUCGGAAUUGCAUUUGUAAACUGGCAGGCUAGAGUCUUGUAGAGGGGGGUAGGAAUUUCAGGUGUAGCGGUGAAAUGCGUAGAGAUCUGAAGGAAUACCAGUGGCGAAGGCGGCCCCCUGGACAAAGACUGACGCUCAGAUGCGAAAGCGUGGGGAGCAAACAGGAUUAGAUACCCUGGUAG